This 227-nucleotide ribosomal RNA is filed under the name uncultured bacterium. RNAcentral's name for it is "partial 16S ribosomal RNA". It matches the Rfam family "Bacterial small subunit ribosomal RNA", at positions 118 to 347 of the family's 1533-position model. The record is from RNAcentral.
UGAGCAAUCUGCCCUUCUCAUCGGAAUAAGCGUUGGAAACGACGUCUAAUGCCGAAUACGACCUCCUUUCGCAUGAUCGGAGGUGGAAAGCUCCGGCGGAGAAGGAUGAGCUCGCGGCCUAUCAGCUAGUUGGUGUGGGUAAUGGCCCACCAAGGCGACGACGGGUAGCCGGCCUGAGAGGGUGAUCGGCCACAUUGGGACUGAGACACGGCCCAGACUCCUAGGAG